UCUCCUUUUCUUGGUGGGGACUGGGUGUGCGGUCCCACUUCCCGUGAUGUACUGAGGCAAAGGAAAGGGCUCGGUCUCUCUCGGUGCCAUGUCUUCAGUGCCGGCGGCUUCCUGUUCACCGGUGCUAUCCUCAAACACAGAGACACGG
RNAcentral lists this small nucleolar RNA (148 nucleotides) under Castor canadensis (American beaver). RNAcentral's name for it is "Small nucleolar RNA SNORA57 (ENSCCNG00000029519.1)". It matches the Rfam family "Small nucleolar RNA SNORA57". Rfam says of the family: U99 belongs to the H/ACA class of snoRNAs which are thought to guide the sites of modification of uridines to pseudouridines, the target for this family is unknown. Lineage: Eukaryota; Metazoa; Chordata; Mammalia; Rodentia; Castoridae. The record is from Rfam by way of RNAcentral.